This is a non-coding RNA of Lupinus albus (white lupine), 884 nucleotides long. The record is from the annotation of a GenBank genome assembly. NCBI's taxonomy places the organism in Eukaryota, Viridiplantae, Streptophyta, Magnoliopsida, Fabales, Fabaceae.
UAAUGUUGUUGAUGCCAAACCUAUUCCCACAUAUAUAAACAGUACAUUCCAUGCACGCUGAUGCACUACAAAAACACAGUCUUAUAUUCAAAACCAAUUGUACAAAACUUUGUUUCUUCCUCAUUUCUUUAUCACAACCUAUAAUUCUUCUUCAACUAAUCCUGACCCUAAAUUUUCCAUUUCCCUAGGUGUUUUCUCUUUGCUCUCAGGGUUUCUCAUAGACCUUGUUCCAUAGCUAUUUUGGCAUUCUGUCCACCUCCACUAUCAUUUGGUUAUUCUAAUCAUUCUCAUGCCGAUCAAAGAGUGGAGUGAUAAGGAGGUUGAGGGCUCAAAUCCCACCACAAAAUCUAACAUACUAACAUUUGACGAUAAAAAAAGAGAGUUAUUCCCAUGCAGAUGGUGACAGAUUUGGAGGUGGCCAGUAGGCCAAAAGAGUUGUGUGAAUUUGUCUUUGAGAAACCCCUUGAGGGCAUAACACUGCCCUUUUUUCUUCUGAACAAGUAUAUAUCCUUGUCUAGAUCAUGCAAUUGAUCAUUUAAUUUAAUUUUCUCUUUUUCAGGGUUUCUAUACUAAUCAAAAAACAUAAUGCUUUUGCCCCAUUUGAUGAAAAUACUUGAAGGUAGGAAGCAAUAUAGUUGAUGAAAAUACGAAUCAAGGAUAUGCUUUUAAGGUUUGAAGUCAACCAUCAAAAUUUAACUUUAUCACAUCAAUGUAUGUUUGUUUUAUUUUAUUAGAAUAGAGAUCAUAUUACAAGUAUCUUCAACUAUGGAUGUAUCAUAAUUUUAUUAGAUAGGGAUAGAAUUUGAGACACACUUUUGACAUACUUUUUGUACCCUUAUAAAUGUUUAAACUUUAAACCAUUAUGGAUAAUUGCAUGUGACUCC